RNA transcript from Brienomyrus brachyistius, 2325 nucleotides. It is a transcript of the gene named phosphoglucomutase 3, with no coding region annotated. NCBI's taxonomy places the organism in Eukaryota, Metazoa, Chordata, Actinopteri, Osteoglossiformes, Mormyridae. The transcript is spliced from 13 exons. The record is from RefSeq and is a predicted model, not a curated record.
ACGGUGAUGGAAGCAAACCCGGAACUGCUGCCACGUCGAGGUGCAGUCUGUUUCUGAGUUUUUGAUCACUUCAUAAACCGGUCUGUGGAAUGGCUCUAUUUGAGGAGGUCUCCAAAAAAUCCGCGCUUCACCCAAAGCCUGCCGGGCUGCUGCUGAACUAUGGCACUUCCGGGUUUCGGACUGUCGCCGAGCAGCUGGAUCACGUCAUGUUUCGGAUGGGCUUGCUAGCAGUUUUAAGGUCCAAGAAGACUAAAGCCACCAUUGGUGUGAUGGUUACGGCGUCUCACAACCCUGAGGAAGACAACGGCAUCAAGCUCGUGGAUCCCAUGGGUGAGAUGGUGACCCCAACCUGGGAGGAGUAUGCCAUGCAGGUAGCUAAUGCUGAACAGGAGGCCCUCCUCACAGUGCUUGGAGACAUCAUGAAGAGGGAGGCUAUCGACAUCAAUCAGGGGGCUGCUGUCUUUAUUGGCAGAGACACCAGGCCCAGCAGUGAGAGUUUAAGCCAGGCAGUGCUGGAUGGCAUCCUCUCCUUCGCCGGUCACGCACAUGACUAUGGUGUGCUGACGACCCCCCAGCUGCACUUCAUGGUUCGCUGUGAGAAUACGCAGAGUCGCUAUGGCAACCCCACCACUGAGGGCUACUACCAGAAACUGUCGCAGGCUUUCGUCCAGCUCGUCAAGCAUGCCCCAAACCGCACUGACGACCAGAAGCAUCUUCUUGUGGAUGGAGCCAAUGGUGUUGGUGCCCUGAAGCUGAGGGAUAUGGAGCCCUUUCUGCAGAAGGAGCUGCAGAUCUCGCUGUUCAACAAGGGCACUGGGGGCAAACUGAACUUCCAGUGUGGUGCUGACUAUGUCAAAGUCCAGCAGGGCCCUCCUCUGGGAGUUGAGAUGCUCGUGGGUCAGCGCUGCUGUUCCUUUGAUGGUGAUGCAGAUCGGAUUGUUUACUACUACAGUGACUCUGAGGGCCGUUUUCACUUGCUGGAUGGUGACAAGAUCGCUACACUUAUCAGCACCUUUCUGAAAAAGCUGGUCACACAGGCUGGUCUGGACUUGCAGAUCGGUGUAGUGCAGACAGCAUAUGCUAAUGGGAGCUCCACGCGCUACUUGGAGAACAACAUGAAGGUAACGGUACGCUGCGUAGAGACAGGCGUAAAGCACCUGCAUCAUGCUGCCCAGGAAUUUGACAUUGGUGUGUACUUUGAGGCCAACGGUCAUGGUACGGUUCUUUUCAGUGAGUCUGCAGUAGUGAAGAUCCAGCAACUAGCCAUGGACUCCAGCACCAGCGAUGAGAAGAAGAGUGCCGCUCAAAUACUGGAGAACACGGUCAACGUCACCAACCAGGCGGUGGGCGACGCCAUCUCCGACAUGCUGCUUGUGGAGGCUGUGCUGGCGGUGCAGGGCCUGUCCCUGCAGCAGUGGGACGCCAUGUACGUGGACCUGCCCAACAGACAGCGUAAAGUGAAGGUGGCAGACAAAAGCGUGAUCACGACUACAGAUGCCGAGAGGAGGGCGCUCAGUCCGGCCGGCUUGCAGGACGCUGUGGACGCACUGGUGAAGCAGUACCCCCUGUCUCGAGCAUUCGUCCGUCCUUCUGGCACCGAGGAUACAAUUCGAGUGUAUGCUGAAGCAGACACACAGGUAAGGACACAGCUGCAGACACGCAAGUAAGGACACAGCUACAGACGCGCAGGUAAGGACACAGCUACAGACACACAGGUAAGGACACAGCUACAGACGCGCAGGUAAGGACACAGCUACAGACACACAGGUAAGGACACAGCUACAGACACACAGGUAAGGACACAGCUACAGACGCACAUGUAAGGACACAGCUACAGACGCACAUGUAAGGACACAGCUACAGACGCACUGGUGAGGACACAGCAACAAAUGGACGGGUGAGCUUGCAGAUACACAGGUAAAGAGCUACAGACACAUAGGUGAGCAUGCAGAUACACAGGUAAAGAGCUACAGACACAUAGGUGAGCAUGCAGAUACACAGGUAAAGAGCUACAGACACAUAGGUGAGCAUGCAGGUGCACAGGUAAAGAGCUACAGACACAUAGGUGAGCAUGCAGGUGCACAGGUAAAGAGCUACAGACACAUAGGUGAGCAUGCAGGUGCACAGGUAAAGAGCUACAGACACAUAGGUGAGCAUGCAGGUGCACAGGUAAAGAGCUACAGACACAUAGGUGAGCAUGCAGGUGCACAAGGAAAGGCAGCGACAGCAUCUGUCUGUGCAGAUUGAUUAAUGACGUAUGUGGGUGUGUGUGUGGACCAUGAUUACAUUGUGUGUGUGUGUGUGUGUGUGUGUGUGUGUGAUUAC